This 181-nucleotide ribosomal RNA is filed under the name uncultured eukaryote. RNAcentral's name for it is "partial 18S ribosomal RNA". It matches the Rfam family "Eukaryotic small subunit ribosomal RNA", at positions 571 to 761 of the family's 1831-position model. The record is from RNAcentral.
CAGCCGCGGUAAUACCAGCUCCGCUAGCGUAUACUAAAGUUGUUGCUGUUAAAAAGCUCGUAGUUGGAUAUCAGGAGGAGUGGCAUGACCCCGUUUGUGUAACAAACGUGUGUCAAAGCGGUUUUGCGACCGACGCCACCCCGACUUAAUUCAGGAGUGCAGGUCUGUCCAUUCAUUUGGG